Molecule: non-coding RNA, 29 nt
Filed under: Rattus norvegicus (Norway rat)
Lineage: Eukaryota; Metazoa; Chordata; Mammalia; Rodentia; Muridae
Source: RNAcentral
AGGACUGACUGUUUUUGCCCUUGUGCCUA